GAUGAACGCUGGCGGCGUGCCUAAUACAUGCCAGUCGAGCGAACAGACGAGGAGCUUGCUCCUCUGACGUUAGCGGCGGACGGGUGAGUAACACGUGGAUAACCUACCUAUAAGACUGGGAUAACUUCGGGAAACCGGAGCUAAUACCGGAUAAUAUAUUGAACCGCAUGGUUCAAUAGUGAAAGACGGUUUUGCUGUCACUUAUAGAUGGAUCCGCGCCGCAUUAGCUAGUUGGUAAGGUAACGGCUUACCAAGGCAACAAUGCGUAGCCGACCUGAGAGGGUGAUCGGCCACACUGGAACUGAGACACGGUCCAGACUCCUACGGGAGGCAGCAGUAGGGAAUCUUCCGCAAUGGGCGAAAGCCUGACGGAGCAACGCCGCGUGAGUGAUGAAGGUCUUCGGAUCGUAAAACUCUGUUAUUAGGGAAGAACAAAUGUGUAAGUAACUAUGCACGUCUUGACGGUACCUAAUCAGAAAGCCACGGCUAACUACGUG
RNAcentral lists this ribosomal RNA (497 nucleotides) under uncultured bacterium. RNAcentral's name for it is "partial 16S ribosomal RNA". It matches the Rfam family "Bacterial small subunit ribosomal RNA", at positions 28 to 507 of the family's 1533-position model. The record is from RNAcentral.